Molecule: non-coding RNA, 3413 nt
Organism: Vicugna pacos (alpaca)
Lineage: Eukaryota; Metazoa; Chordata; Mammalia; Artiodactyla; Camelidae
Source: RefSeq, a predicted model, not a curated record
GCUUCACUUUCCCCUCUUGACGGGGUCUCACCGGAUACAUGGAUACACACCCGUGGGCUGCAUGCUGGUCCCAUCAAAUGAGGUCACCUGGGACCUGAGGUCACCUUUCAUGGUUACUGCCGCUCAGGGUACCUCUUGUUUUUUUUUUUGAAACAUGGCUUAAUUUUCUGCAUAUAAAAAACUUGGUAAAUACAAGCAUGCCAUCAUAGGGUCCAAGCAUGAUUUCAAAAAUUUCGAAUUGUGAUUCUGAGAUAAGUAUGUAGUGACCACGGGUCACUGGUUCACGGAUGGCUUAUUUAACUCAGCAGCAGGGGAGCAGGAUUUUAAUUUUUAUUUAUUUGUUUUUUAGGGGAGGGAGGUAAUUAGGUUUAUUUAUUUACUUUUGGAGGAGGUACUGGGGAUUGAACCCAGGACCUCAUGCUUGCUAAACUGCUUGCUAAACUCAUGCUCUGCCACUUGCGCUACACCCUCCCCCCAGCUGGUUUAAUGAGCAUUUGCGAACAGACUGAUACAGUCAGUUGGGAAGGAGGUGCUGGGGUAAGCUUGAUACAAGAUGCAGAAUUGGGCUACGCAGCGAUGGUGUAGCUUUGGGGCCUCAGCUAUUUCUUCUUCACUUACCUUUACAUUUUUAAUUGAUAUGUUAUUCUUUUGUCUCUUGAUUCAUCAAUUUAAUUUAAUUUUGUGAACAUUUAUUACUGAAAAUUUCAAACGGACAGAAGUGGGGAGAACGGUGCAAUGAACCACCCUUCCUGUGCAAUCAUCACUCACCUGGGACCAGUCACACUCGGGCUAAUCUUGUUGUGCCUACCGGCCCCUCCCCCUGACACACACACGCGCGCACACACACACCUGCCCCAGAUGAUUCUAAAGCAAACCCAAGACAGUCUAUUAUUUCAUUCAUAAAUUUCUAGGAGAAAAAGAUACGCUUUGUCUUACCACACUGUGGUACAACUUUCUCACCUAGAAAGUGCAGAGUUGCAGGGUUGAAUCCUGUCGUGCUCCAGUUAAAAAAACAGAACCUAGCCAGGAUCUGAGCAGCCUUCGGGACCGUCAUGUGGCGGCUGUGCGUUCCCGGGAGACCGCCAGCUCCGUGAGGGCUGCGCCGACCUUGUGCACGACCGGCGGUUUCUCUGACCCCCACACCGAGGAUGCCCUGUGAGUCCUCCCCCUCUGACUCCGGAUGUCCUGAGGACAAGCCAUCCUCAGCCCCAUCACCCGAAACCAAGUCCUUUCCAAGCUGUAUCCCCACUGCCUGCCGGGCUCCUCUUCUUGCUCUAAUAAACCGAACACGCUUUCAAUGAAAGCAGCUGGAAUUCUAAUUGUUAUCUUAUUAGGACUUAACUUGUCCCCCACAUGAUUAUCCCAGCUGGCAGUUCUGGCCAUUAGGGUCACGUGAGCGGUGCUGCGAACACCCUGGAAGAUGGGAUACAGCUGGUCUGGGUGGGUAGGGCCCAGGCACUGGUUUCUUAAGGGUCCCCAUGGUUCUCACAGGCACCUUUAGGGGAGACCACUGUCCCGCCGACCCGACAAGCACUGACAGUGUCAACAGCUUAGACAGGACGGUCAGCAGAGAGAACUAUUUCACAAGCCCAAAAGUGUUAGCGUGACCCAGUUUUUCACUUUUAAGUUCAGGCAACAGCUGGGGCCAGACUAUUAAACCAGCAAGCACAGCUCAUUGAAAACCACGAGAGGUUCCCUUUCCCAGUGAGAUGGGGUGGCUCACACUGGCCUUUCCAGCUGCCUGUGUCCUGCAGAUGAUGCUUCAGAGGUCUUCAAGGCAGGCUGGCCCUGCGGAAGGGUGAAGACCACCUUUUCAUUCCUUCUACAUCUCACGAUAAAACCUGCUUUCCCAGGAGGCUCUACAGGCCAAGUGGAGGAGCUCCGUGGGGGCUCCUGGCUAUUGUGGCUUAAAUCGGACUUAGUGGGGCUUCUCACAUGCACGGGCAGGGCUGGUAGCAGAACACUAAUGACCCCAAGGUUCCCAUCCCCUGGUGGGCAUGCCCUUUAUACCCCCUACCCCCACCCCAGAUUUCCAGCAGAAACUGUGACUGUGAUGGGACAGCAUGCCUGUGAGUAGGUUACUGAUCAGUUGACCUGAAGUUAAUCAACAGGCAGAGAAUCCCGGCGAGCCUGGCCUAAUCAGUUGAGUCCUUCAAGGGACUGAGCCCUUCCUGGAGUGAGAGGUUGGAACUCUGAGGGGCCUGCAAAGGGGGCCACGUGGCAAGGGCAUGAGGGUAACCUCCAGUAGCAGAGGGUCAUCCCCAGCUGACAGCUAGAAGGACAAUGGGGACAUAGUUCUCCUGUGAUCUCUAGUAAGUACAUUCUGUCAACAACAGAGGGAUGUGUGGAUGUGGGUCUUUUCUCAGCUAAGCCUCCAGGUGAGGACACAGUCGGCUGAGAGCUUGAUGGCAACUCGGAAAUCCAGGAUCAAGCUGACAUGUGUUGAGCUCGAUGGAAACUGUGAGGGUGAGGAAGACUGAGCUGAAACGACCCACACUGGGUUCUGAAACACACCAGACAGCAAAUGGUCCCCAGCACCCACUCCCCUUCCUCCAGACCGACGUGAAAUGUCCCUGAGACCCGGGGCCUGUGCUGGGGACAGCCUGCCACAGAGUCUGCCCUCCAUCCUCGGUCGGUCAGGGCUCAGUCUGAGCUGGGACCUGCAGGCUCGUUCGUGGUAAUAGCUCAGUAAUGGCAAAGGUGAGGGGUGGCCACUGUCCCUCCAGCCUCAGUUUCCAGAAUCAGGAAGGGCUCCGGGUUCCGGUCCUUCCAGCCUAACCCAUCCAGCUGACCUACCAGGGAGCCCAUCCUUCCAGCUGCCACCUCCCCUCCACCCGUCAGCCUCCGUCCUCCUGGCUCCCCUGGGUGCUGAGGUGGGUCCAUGCCGUUGUACCCUCCCCUCCCGCAGAGCGCCCUCGCUGCCCUGUCCGCGGGGGAGCGCUGAGGUUUAAUCACACAUCAACAAGCAGUGACCGUAGACGUCUUAAAGCGAAUAUCUGCUGACUGUUUAUGAUACAACAGGCACUUUGCUAGAAAUAGUUGAGGUUGUCCAGUUAUGUCUCUGUCUAUAAAUGACAAACUAAGCUUUGGGGAGGUUGAGCAACUUGUUCAAAGGGAUGGCCGUGGAUCCAAAGAUCGUGUGGUCACGACUGACAUCUGAGACCCUCCAUGGCAAGCUUUGGACUUGGGCAAACGGGACAUCUGGGGAGACUGAAGCAGGAGCAGUUUCUCAGAGAGGGAGAGAGACAGGAGCCCGGAUGAGGGGCUGUGCCGGAAGCUGUGGGUCCCAGUUCUACGCCAGCUUGACUGCGUUCAGUUCUUGGGUGUGUGUACAGGACAUACAGGAACUGGCGCUAAUAUGAGUAGAUUUUCCUGGUAACAAAAUUGUCUUAAAUAAAAUAAGCUAAUAUGUA